This 546-nucleotide ribosomal RNA is filed under the name uncultured Acidobacteriota bacterium. RNAcentral's name for it is "bacterial SSU rRNA". It matches the Rfam family "Bacterial small subunit ribosomal RNA", at positions 37 to 587 of the family's 1533-position model. Lineage: Bacteria; Pseudomonadati; Acidobacteriota. The record is from RNAcentral.
UGGCGGCGUGCUUAACACAUGCAAGUCGAGUGCGCGGUUGUAGCAAUACAACUGGCGCACGGCGCACGGGUGCGUAACACGUGGGCAAUCUGCCCUCCGAUGGGGAAUAACUCCGGGAAACCGAAGCUAAUUCCGCAUAACAUUCCCUGGACUCCGGUUCGGGGACUCAAAGCAGUGAUGCGUCGGAGGAGGAGCCCGCGCCCGAUUAGCUAGUUGGCAGGGUAACGGCCUACCAAGGCAAUGAUCGGUAGCUGGUCUGAGAGGAUGGCCAGCCACACUGGAACUGAGACACGGUCCAGACUCCUACGGGAGGCAGCAGUGGGGAAUCUUGCGCAAUGGGCGAAAGCCUGACGCAGCGACGCCGCGUGGGGGAUGAAGCUUCUCGGAGUGUAAACCCCUUUCGACUGGGACGAAUGCCCGCAAGGGAGUGACGGUACCAGUAGAAGAAGCCCCGGCUAACUACGUGCCAGCAGCCGCGGUAAGACGUAGGGGGCCAGCGUUGUUCGGAAUUACUGGGUGUAAAGGGUUCGUAGGCGGUGUGGCAAG